This 253-nucleotide ribosomal RNA is filed under the name uncultured bacterium. Its description in RNAcentral is "partial 16S ribosomal RNA". It matches the Rfam family "Bacterial small subunit ribosomal RNA", at positions 524 to 776 of the family's 1533-position model. The record is from RNAcentral.
UACGGGGGGGGCAAGCGUUGUUCGGAAUUACUGGGCGUAAAGGGCUCGUAGGUGGCCAACUAAGUCAGACGUGAAAUCCCUCGGCUUAACCGGGGAACUGCGUCUGAUACUGGAUGGCUUGAGUUUGGGAGAGGGAUGCGGAAUUCCAGGUGUAGCGGUGAAAUGCGUAGAUAUCAGGAGGAACACCGGUGGCGAAGGCGGUUCUCUGGGAAUAUCCUGACGCUGAGGCACGAAAGCGUGGGGAUCAAACAGG